Molecule: long non-coding RNA, 680 nt
Filed under: Carica papaya (papaya)
Lineage: Eukaryota; Viridiplantae; Streptophyta; Magnoliopsida; Brassicales; Caricaceae
Description: long non-coding RNA (CPAP_LNC015754)
Source: RNAcentral
UUAAAGUUUAAUGGCCCAUAUUGUACUCCCUCAUUCACGACCACAAUUAGAUCAUGGUCAAUAUAAAUCAUAAUUGGCAAAAUAGUAUAUGGUGGAGGAAAAGAGAAGAAACGGAAGUUUGAUAGGCUGAAAUAGAGAGGAAGGGACGUGUGAGCGGUGGAAGGAUGGAGAUAAGAGCUCUUUUGACACUCACGAACAUCGACGCAAUACGAAGUAGUUGAGUUAUUUGCUUCAUGAUUUGCAUGUUACUCGUUUGCAUUUACUAUGAUAAUUCUUUUACAAUGAAAAUUGCUAAAAAUCCAAUUUUUCACGAGCGUACAAAAUAUAUUAAGAUUGAUUGUCAUGUGGUUCGACAAAAGAUUGUUAAAUAAUUUAUUCGUUUGUUAUUUGUUUCAUAUCGUACCUUUAUCUUCUUCCCAAUUUCAAGAUGCAAUACCUAAGUUGGGUAUUCAAAGUUUGUAUACUCCAGCUUAGGGGAGGGGGCUAUUUGGAUAUGUGGCAAUUUUGUAAUUUUAUAAAGGAUUCUUUUGUGUAAUUACUUUUAGUUUUGGGGUUCUUAUAUGAAUAAUCAUAAGCUACCAUGUAUAAAUACCAUAAUUUUCCUAAUUCAAUAUCAGCAAAAAAUUUCUUCUUCUUCUUAGAUUUCACCAAAUCACUGUGAUUUCAUUAUUUGUUUGCAC